Molecule: ribosomal RNA, 2926 nt
Filed under: Escherichia coli
Lineage: Bacteria; Pseudomonadati; Pseudomonadota; Gammaproteobacteria; Enterobacterales; Enterobacteriaceae
Description: 23S ribosomal RNA
Rfam family: Bacterial large subunit ribosomal RNA
Source: RNAcentral
GGGUUGUGAGGUUAAGCGACUAAGCGUACACGGUGGAUGCCCUGGCAGUCAGAGGCGAUGAAGGACGUGCUAAUCUGCGAUAAGCGUCGGUAAGGUGAUAUGAACCGUUAUAACCGGCGAUUUCCGAAUGGGGAAACCCAGUGUGAUUCGUCACACUAUCAUUAACUGAAUCCAUAGGUUAAUGAGGCGAACCGGGGGAACUGAAACAUCUAAGUACCCCGAGGAAAAGAAAUCAACCGAGAUUCCCCCAGUAGCGGCGAGCGAACGGGGAGCAGCCCAGAGCCUGAAUCAGUGUGUGUGUUAGUGGAAGCGUCUGGAAAGGCGCGCGAUACAGGGUGACAGCCCCGUACACAAAAAUGCACAUAUUGUGAGCUCGAUGAGUAGGGCGGGACACGUGGUAUCCUGUCUGAAUAUGGGGGGACCAUCCUCCAAGGCUAAAUACUCCUGACUGACCGAUAGUGAACCAGUACCGUGAGGGAAAGGCGAAAAGAACCCCGGCGAGGGGAGUGAAAAAGAACCUGAAACCGUGUACGUACAAGCAGUGGGAGCCUCUUUAUGGGGUGACUGCGUACCUUUUGUAUAAUGGGUCAGCGACUUAUAUUCUGUAGCAAGGUUAACCGAAUAGGGGAGCCGAAGGGAAACCGAGUCUUAACUGGGCGUUAAGUUGCAGGGUAUAGACCCGAAACCCGGUGAUCUAGCCAUGGGCAGGUUGAAGGUUGGGUAACACUAACUGGAGGACCGAACCGACUAAUGUUGAAAAAUUAGCGGAUGACUUGUGGCUGGGGGUGAAAGGCCAAUCAAACCGGGAGAUAGCUGGUUCUCCCCGAAAGCUAUUUAGGUAGCGCCUCGUGAAUUCAUCUCCGGGGGUAGAGCACUGUUUCGGCAAGGGGGUCAUCCCGACUUACCAACCCGAUGCAAACUGCGAAUACCGGAGAAUGUUAUCACGGGAGACACACGGCGGGUGCUAACGUCCGUCGUGAAGAGGGAAACAACCCAGACCGCCAGCUAAGGUCCCAAAGUCAUGGUUAAGUGGGAAACGAUGUGGGAAGGCCCAGACAGCCAGGAUGUUGGCUUAGAAGCAGCCAUCAUUUAAAGAAAGCGUAAUAGCUCACUGGUCGAGUCGGCCUGCGCGGAAGAUGUAACGGGGCUAAACCAUGCACCGAAGCUGCGGCAGCGACGCUUAUGCGUUGUUGGGUAGGGGAGCGUUCUGUAAGCCUGCGAAGGUGUACUGUGAGGUAUGCUGGAGGUAUCAGAAGUGCGAAUGCUGACAUAAGUAACGAUAAAGCGGGUGAAAAGCCCGCUCGCCGGAAGACCAAGGGUUCCUGUCCAACGUUAAUCGGGGCAGGGUGAGUCGACCCCUAAGGCGAGGCCGAAAGGCGUAGUCGAUGGGAAACAGGUUAAUAUUCCUGUACUUGGUGUUACUGCGAAGGGGGGACGGAGAAGGCUAUGUUGGCCGGGCGACGGUUGUCCCGGUUUAAGCGUGUAGGCUGGUUUUCCAGGCAAAUCCGGAAAAUCAAGGCUGAGGCGUGAUGACGAGGCACUACGGUGCUGAAGCAACAAAUGCCCUGCUUCCAGGAAAAGCCUCUAAGCAUCAGGUAACAUCAAAUCGUACCCCAAACCGACACAGGUGGUCAGGUAGAGAAUACCAAGGCGCUUGAGAGAACUCGGGUGAAGGAACUAGGCAAAAUGGUGCCGUAACUUCGGGAGAAGGCACGCUGAUAUGUAGGUGAAGUCCCUCGCGGAUGGAGCUGAAAUCAGUCGAAGAUACCAGCUGGCUGCAACUGUUUAUUAAAAACACAGCACUGUGCAAACACGAAAGUGGACGUAUACGGUGUGACGCCUGCCCGGUGCCGGAAGGUUAAUUGAUGGGGUUAGCGGUAACGCGAAGCUCUUGAUCGAAGCCCCGGUAAACGGCGGCCGUAACUAUAACGGUCCUAAGGUAGCGAAAUUCCUUGUCGGGUAAGUUCCGACCUGCACGAAUGGCGUAAUGAUGGCCAGGCUGUCUCCACCCGAGACUCAGUGAAAUUGAACUCGCUGUGAAGAUGCAGUGUACCCGCGGCAAGACGGAAAGACCCCGUGAACCUUUACUAUAGCUUGACACUGAACAUUGAGCCUUGAUGUGUAGGAUAGGUGGGAGGCUUUGAAGUGUGGACGCCAGUCUGCAUGGAGCCGGCCUUGAAAUACCACCCUUUAAUGUUUGAUGUUCUAACGUUGACCCGUUAUCCGGGUUGCGGACAGUGUCUGGUGGGUAGUUUGACUGGGGCGGUCUCCUCCUAAAGAGUAACGGAGGAGCACGAAGGUUGGCUAAUCCUGGUCGGACAUCAGGAGGUUAGUGCAAUGGCAUAAGCCAGCUUGACUGCGAGCGUGACGGCGCGAGCAGGUGCGAAAGCAGGUCAUAGUGAUCCGGUGGUUCUGAAUGGAAGGGCCAUCGCUCAACGGAUAAAAGGUACUCCGGGGAUAACAGGCUGAUACCGCCCAAGAGUUCAUAUCGACGGCGGUGUUUGGCACCUCGAUGUCGGCUCAUCACAUCCUGGGGCUGAAGUAGGUCCCAAGGGUAUGGCUGUUCGCCAUUUAAAGUGGUACGCGAGCUGGGUUUAGAACGUCGUGAGACAGUUCGGUCCCUAUCUGCCGUGGGCGCUGGAGAACUGAGGGGGGCUGCUCCUAGUACGAGAGGACCGGAGUGGACGCAUCACUGGUGUUCGGGUUGUCAUGCCAAUGGCACUGCCCGGUAGCUAAAUGCGGAAGAGAUAAGUGCUGAAAGCAUCUAAGCACGAAACUUGCCCCGAGAUGAGUUCUCCCUGACUCCUUGAGAGUCCUGAAGGAACGUUGAAGACGACGACGUUGAUAGGCCGGGUGUGUAAGCGCAGCGAUGCGUUGAGCUAACCGGUACUAAUGAACCGUGAGGCUUAACCUUACAACGCCGAAG